AAUCCGGGCCGCGUAUAUUAACAGAGCCCCUACCCGAUUUCGGAUCAAUCGGUGAGUGCAUACAAAUACUCAGCCAUACGUAGUUUUUCAAUGACUAGGACACUAUAGAUUUAACAUUGACACUCGAGACACUAAAUUUCUUGGAGAAGUAUCGGGUUUGGACAAACGAGCAGUUUACGUUUUGUAAAACUCCUAAAAUCACCUCGGUUAUACGUUUCUGCUCGACUCGAAAUCGGAUAGGUCGGUCAUCCGGGCACUAAUAAUUAACACUUCAACGAGCGUGUGUCUAUGGUUUCUAAUUGAGAAUCUAA
Molecule: non-coding RNA, 311 nt
Organism: Cinara cedri
Lineage: Eukaryota; Metazoa; Arthropoda; Insecta; Hemiptera; Aphididae
Source: the annotation of a GenBank genome assembly